Molecule: ribosomal RNA, 513 nt
Filed under: uncultured bacterium
Lineage: Bacteria
Description: partial 16S ribosomal RNA
Rfam family: Bacterial small subunit ribosomal RNA
Source: RNAcentral
GAUGAACGCUGGCGGCGUGCCUAAUACAUGCAAGUCGAGCGAACAGAUGAGAAGCUGCUUCUCUGAUGUUAGCGGCGGACGGGUGAGUAACACGUGGGUAACCUACCUAUAAGACUGGGAUAACUCCGGGAAACCGGGGCUAAUACCGGAUAAUAUUUUGAACCGCAUGGCUCAAUAGUGAAAGACGGUUUCGGCUGUCACUUAUAGAUGGACCCGCGCCGUAUUAGCUAGUUGGUAAGGUAACGGCUUACCAAGGCGACGAUACGUAGCCGACCUGAGAGGGUGAUCGGCCACACUGGAACUGAGACACGGUCCAGACUCCUACGGGAGGCAGCAGUAGGGAAUCUUCCGCAAUGGGCGAAAGCCUGACGGAGCAACGCCGCGUGAGUGAUGAAGGUCUUCGGAUCGUAAAACUCUGUUGUUAGGGAAGAACAAAUUUGUUAGUAACUGAACAAGUCUUGACGGUACCUAACCAGAAAGCCACGGUUAACUACGUGCCAGCCGCCGCAGUAA